GUAAGGAAUAUUGGUCAAUGGACGAAAGUCUGAACCAGCCAUGCCGCGUGGAGGAUGAAGGUCCUCUGGAUUGUAAACUUCUUUUAUAUGGGACGAAAAAAGGCUUUUCUAAGUCGUCUGACGGUACCAUAUGAAUAAGCACCGGCUAACUCCGUGCCAGCAGCCGCGGUAAUACGGAGGGUGCAAGCGUUAUCCGGAUUCACUGGGUUUAAAGGGUGCGUAGGUGGAUUGCCAAGUCUGUGGUGAAAUCUUCGAGCUUAACUCGGAAACUGCCAUGGAUACUGGUGAUCUUGAAUAUCGUGGAGGUUAGCGGAAUAUGUCAUGUAGCGGUGAAAUGCUUAGAUAUGACAUAGAACACCAAUUGCGAAGGCAGCUGGCUACGCGAAUAUUGACACUCAGGCACGAAAGCGUGGGGAUCAAACAGGAUUAGAUACCCUAGUAGUCC
RNAcentral lists this ribosomal RNA (445 nucleotides) under uncultured bacterium. Its description in RNAcentral is "partial 16S ribosomal RNA". It matches the Rfam family "Bacterial small subunit ribosomal RNA", at positions 354 to 796 of the family's 1533-position model. The record is from RNAcentral.